GUAUGACCUUCCAAGUUUUAUAAAGAAGACGAUGAUAUUAUUUGCGUUUUAUUUCAAUCGAACAAUUCUUCUCAGGUUCGCUUUGUGCUGCCUGAGGUUUUAAUGGAGAGUGUGGUUCCUGCGCAGCCUUUUAAUCUUGUUACAUUCUAUGAAUGACAAGGACACUUUAUAGAAAAUUCUGAUUCUUUCAGCAAAGAUUGAAGGUCUAUAU
Molecule: small nucleolar RNA, 211 nt
Filed under: Lachancea thermotolerans CBS 6340
Lineage: Eukaryota; Fungi; Ascomycota; Saccharomycetes; Saccharomycetales; Saccharomycetaceae
Description: snR45
Rfam family: Small nucleolar RNA snR45 (bases 3-187)
Source: RNAcentral